Molecule: ribosomal RNA, 449 nt
Filed under: uncultured bacterium
Lineage: Bacteria
Description: bacterial SSU rRNA
Rfam family: Bacterial small subunit ribosomal RNA
Source: RNAcentral
UGCCAGACUCCUACGGGAGGCAGCAGUGGGGGAUAUUGCACAAUGGGGGGAACCCUGAUGCAGCGACGCCGCGUGGGUGAAGAAGUAUUUCGGUAUGUAUAGCCCUAUCGGCAGGGAAGAAAUUGGACGGUACCUGACUAAGAAGCCCCGGCUAACUACGUGCCAGCAGCCGCGGUAAUACGUAGGGGGCAAGCGUUAUCCGGAUUUACUGGGUGUAAAGGGAGCGUAGACGGCCAGACAAGUCUGAAGUGAAAAGCCAGCGCGUAACGUUGGAAGUGCUUUGGAAACUGCCGGGCUAGAGUGCAGGAGGGGCAGGCGGAAUUCCUAGUGUAGCGGUGAAAUGCGUAGAUAUUAGGAGGAACACCAGUGGCGAAGGCGGCCUGCUGGACGAUGACUGACGUUGAGGCUCGAAAGCGUGGGGAGCAAACAGGAUUAGAUACCCGAGUACA